AGAUUAUUCAUUUCAAAAUGUCUCAGAGAAGUUAACUGGCCGGUUUUUGUGAGAUCUUUCGAUCUCUGUCAACUAUUCUGCUUACCGAACUUCUCAUAUUC
Molecule: small nucleolar RNA, 101 nt
Organism: Juglans microcarpa x Juglans regia
Lineage: Eukaryota; Viridiplantae; Streptophyta; Magnoliopsida; Fagales; Juglandaceae
Product: small nucleolar RNA snoR109
Exons: 1
Source: RefSeq, a predicted model, not a curated record